Molecule: ribosomal RNA, 305 nt
Filed under: uncultured bacterium
Lineage: Bacteria
Description: partial 16S ribosomal RNA
Rfam family: Bacterial small subunit ribosomal RNA
Source: RNAcentral
ACAGCAGUAGCCACGGUAAUACGUAGGGUGCGAGCGUUAAUCGGAAUUACUGGGCGUAAAGCGUGCGCAGGCGGUUCGUUAAGACAGAUGUGAAAUCCCCGGGCUUAACCUGGGAACUGCAUUUGUGACUGGCGAGCUAGAGUAUGGCAGAGGGGGGUAGAAUUCCACGUGUAGCAGUGAAAUGCGUAGAGAUGUGGAGGAAUACCGAUGGCGAAGGCAGCCCCCUGGGCCAGUACUGACGCUCAUGCACGAAAGCGUGGGGAGCAAACAGGAUUAGAUACCCGCGUAGUCCCUGUCUCUUAUAC